CCGAGACGGAGCGAGGGGUCCAGGGUGUGGGAAACGGGGAGGGGUUUGAGGAGGGGAUCGGAAUGUGGCUCAAGUUCGGGAGGCGUUACCUGCGGAGGGUUUGAGGCAGGCCCAGGAGCGAGCCCAUGGUCUUCCGACGCGGGGCCAGGGGCGGGGCCCAGGAUCCGGAGCUUCGUGCGGGGCCGAGUCCAGGUUUGGGGCCCGGGAGGCGGGGCCAGUUAGGGCGAGGGUCCCUGGGAUCGUCGGGUCAGGCCUUGGGCUAACGUAGGCACUCUCGCAGUUCCUCCGCCUUCAGGAAGGUCUUUUCAGCAGGGGCCUUACGGGUGCAUGCUUCGGUCCUGGAGGCCUUAUCCUAGCCUCCUCUCCAUCAGCGCCACCCGUCUGGGGCCCGAAAGGAGGGAGCUUUCCCUCUGUCCCCCAGCCUUUGGACUGUCACUAAACAAGCCAUUCGUUCAUCAAAUACUUUUUAAGCGCCUACCAUGUGCCUGACAAGGGAGAUGUAACGGUGAGAAAAACUAGGUGUGGUCCAGGCCCUUCAGGGGCUCAGGUGCUCGUGGAAGAAGUGGACAUUGAAGUACUUAUCACACAAAUGAGGAUAAAAGUACGAUAACGAUAUCUACCACGAAGCUGUUGUUCCCCACCAGAACCAAAUGAGCGCAAGAUCUGACAAAGAAAAAAAAAGGUUCAUCUUUUAUUCCUCCAAACACUUUCAUUUAAAUCAAGAGGAUGGGAUGUGGUUAUUGCUGUGUUUUUAGACAGAAUCAACGGUUUCUGGGUCUGAGAUGUUGCAUACACCUUCUCAGUCCCUGUAUCCUGAGAUGGAGUCACCUGAGAAUCCACAGCAAGUCCUAACCAGGGAUGGGUCUGGGUGAUUAAGGAAGGUUGGCUUCAGAACUGGGCCAGGGGCACUGCUUUGCUUUUGCUGUUUUGAUCAGCUCUCUGCCUGAAGGAGACAAGAAAAACCAACGGGAACAGCCCAGUAAAGGCGCCAUUCCCCAUUUUACAGCUGGGGAAACUGAGUUACAGAGCUUGUCUGCACUGAGUCAUCAGGAGCAAAUGCUAGAUCAGAUAGGGUCUCUCUCUCUGCCACCCAGGCCAGAGUGCAGUUGACGCAGGGCAGGGGAGCCCCGAAGUGGAGCAUAGUGUGUCCGGAACUGGUGGGUUCUUGGUCUCACUGACUUCAAGAAAGAAGCCGCGGACCCUCG
RNAcentral lists this long non-coding RNA (1205 nucleotides) under Homo sapiens (human). RNAcentral's name for it is "non-protein coding lnc-ZNF705D-2:40". The record is from RNAcentral. Lineage: Eukaryota; Metazoa; Chordata; Mammalia; Primates; Hominidae.